GUUUCUGUAGUGUAGUGGUUAUCACAUUCGCCUCACACGCGAAAGGUCCCCGGUUCGAAACCGGGCAGAAACA
Molecule: non-coding RNA, 73 nt
Organism: Charadrius vociferus (killdeer)
Lineage: Eukaryota; Metazoa; Chordata; Aves; Charadriiformes; Charadriidae
Source: Rfam